Molecule: ribosomal RNA, 708 nt
Filed under: uncultured Bacilli bacterium
Lineage: Bacteria; Bacillati; Bacillota; Bacilli
Description: bacterial SSU rRNA
Rfam family: Bacterial small subunit ribosomal RNA
Source: RNAcentral
UAGAUGAAUUUGGUGCUUGCACCAAAUGAAACUAGAUACAAGCGAGCGGCGGACGGGUGAGUAACACGUGGGUAACCUGCCCAAGAGACUGGGAUAACACCUGGAAACAGAUGCUAAUACCGGAUAACAACACUAGACGCAUGUCUAGAGUUUAAAAGAUGGUUCUGCUAUCACUCUUGGAUGGACCUGCGGUGCAUUAGCUAGUUGGUAAGGUAACGGCUUACCAAGGCAAUGAUGCAUAGCCGAGUUGAGAGACUGAUCGGCCACAUUGGGACUGAGACACGGCCCAAACCCCUACGGGAGGCAGCAGUAGGGAAUCUUCCACAAUGGACGCAAGUCUGAUGGAGCAACGCCGCGUGAGUGAAGAAGGGUUUCGGCUCGUAAAGCUCUGUUGGUAGUGAAGAAAGAUAGAGGUAGUAACUGGCCUUUAUUUGACGGUAAUUACUUAGAAAGUCACGGCUAACUACGUGCCAGCAGCCGCGGUAAUACGUAGGUGGCAAGCGUUGUCCGGAUUUAUUGGGCGUAAAGCGAGUGCAGGCGGUUCAAUAAGUCUGAUGUGAAAGCCUUCGGCUCAACCGGAGAAUUGCAUCAGAAACUGUUGAACUUGAGUGCAGAAGAGGAGAGUGGAACUCCAUGUGUAGCGGUGGAAUGCGUAGAUAUAUGGAAGAACACCAGUGGCGAAGGCGGCUCUCUGGUCUGCAACUGACG